UGGGGAAUAUUGCACAAUGGGCGCAAGCCUGAUGCAGCAACGCCGCGUGAAGGAUGAAGGCCUUCGGGUUGUAAACUUCUGUCCUAGGGGAAGAAACAAAUGACAUUACCCUUGGAGGAAGCCCCGGCUAACUACGUGCCAGCAGCCGCGGUAAUACGUAGGGGGCGAGCGUUAUCCGGAAUUAUUGGGCGUAAAGAGUGCGUAGGUGGCACCUUAAGCGCAGGGUUUAAGGCAAUGGCUCAACCAUUGUUCGCCUUGCGAACUGGGGUGCUUGAGUGCAGGAGGGGAAAGUGGAAUUCCUAGUGUAGCGGUGAAAUGCGUAGAUAUUAGGAGGAACACCAGUGGCGAAGGCGACUUUCUGGACUGUUACUGACACUGAGGCACGAAAGCGUGGGGAGCAAACAGGAUUAGAUACCCUGGUAGUCCACGCCGUAAACGAUGAGCACUAGGUGUCGGGGUCGCAAGACUUCGGUGCCGCAGUUAACGCAUUAAGUGCUCCGCCUGGGGAGUACGCACGCAAGUGUA
RNAcentral lists this ribosomal RNA (525 nucleotides) under uncultured bacterium. RNAcentral's name for it is "bacterial SSU rRNA". It matches the Rfam family "Bacterial small subunit ribosomal RNA", at positions 355 to 896 of the family's 1533-position model. The record is from RNAcentral.